RNAcentral lists this small RNA (8836 nucleotides) under Pan troglodytes (chimpanzee). Its description in RNAcentral is "retained intron". Lineage: Eukaryota; Metazoa; Chordata; Mammalia; Primates; Hominidae. The record is from RNAcentral.
GCCAUGUUGAUUUCUGAUCCUUGAGCUUUUCUGUGUUUCUCUGUUCAUUCUUCAUGGCAUCCUUGGAAGGAUGCCAAGCUAAGGAGGCCAGGGGGGAAUAAAAGGAGUCCAGGCUCCCAACUGUGCCCUUCCCCUCUCCCCUGGGAGCCACCACUGAGGGUCCUCACGGUUCCUCCAGUCUGGACUCUGCUGCUUCUGGUGGGGGCUGCCCUUUUCAGGAAAGAGAAGCCUACGGACCAGAAGCUGGUUGUUCGCAGCUCUAGGGACAACUAUGUCCUCACCCAGUGUGAUUUUGAGGAUGACGCCAAACCCCUCUGUGACUGGUCCCAAGUGUCCGCAGACGAUGGAGACUGGGUUCGAGCCAGUGGGCCCUCUCCCACCGGCUCCACCGGGGCCCCCGGGGGGUACCCUAACGGAGAGGGCAGCUAUCUGCAUAUGGAAUCGAACAGCUUCCACCGUGGGGGAGUGGCCCGCCUGCUCAGCCCCGACCUAUGGGAGCAAGGCCCCCUCUGUGUGCACUUUGCCUACCACAUGUUCGGGCUGUCUUGGGGCGCCCAGCUCAGGCUGCUGCUGCUCUCAGGUGAAGAGGGCCGCCGCCCCGAUGUGCUCUGGAAACACUGGAACACCCAGAGACCCUCCUGGAUGCUCACCACCGUCACUGUGCCCACAGGGUUCACCCUGCCCACCCGGCUGAUGUUUGAGGGAACACGGGGUAGCACUGCCUACCUGGACAUCGCCCUGGACGCCCUCUCUAUCCGCCGGGGCUCCUGUAAUCGUGUCUGUAUGAUGCAAACAUGCAGCUUUGACAUUCCAAAUGACCUCUGUGACUGGACCUGGAUCCCAACUGCCUCCGGGGCCAAGUGGACUCAGAAGAAAGGGUCAUCAGGAAAGCCAGGCGUGGGGCCUGAUGGCGACUUCUCUAGCCCUGGUAGUGGCCGCUACAUGCUCCUGGACCCCAAGAAUGCAAGACCUGGGCAGAAAGCUGUCCUCCUGAGCCCCGUGAGCCUGUCCUCUGGCUGUCUGAGCUUUUCCUUCCACUACAUCCUCCGGGGCCAGUCUCCUGGUGCAGCCCUCCACAUUUAUGCUUCAGUCUUGGGGAGUAUCCGGAAACACACUCUCUUCUCAGGACAACCUGGGCCCAACUGGCAGGCUGUUUCUGUCAAUUACACAGCCGUGGGACGGAUACAGUUUGCCGUGGUAGGCGUUUUUGGAAAGACCCCAGAGCCAGCUAUGGCAGUUGAUGCAACCAGCAUUGCUCCUUGUGGGGAGGGUUUUCCUCAGUGUGACUUUGAAGACAACGCCCAUCCCUUCUGUGACUGGGUCCAGACUUCCGGGGAUGGUGGACACUGGGCCCUCGGACAUAAAAAUGGACCCAUCCAUGGCAUGGGCCCUGCGGGAGGUUUCCCUAAUGCAGGGGGUCACUAUAUCUACCUUGAGGCUGACGAGUUCUCCCAGGCAGGCCAGUCAGUCAGACUGGUGAGCCGGCCCUUCUGUGCCCCAGGUGACAUCUGCGUGGAGUUUGCAUACCACAUGUAUGGCCUUGGGGAGGGUACUAUGCUCGAACUCCUCCUGGGAAGUCCUGCGGGGAGUCCCCCGAUUCCUCUCUGGAAACACGUGGGGUCUCAGCGCCCUUACUGGCAGAACACCUCCGUCACCGUCCCCUCAGGACACCAACAGCCCAUGCAGCUUAUUUUCAAGGCCAUCCAGGGAAGCAACACGGCCUCUGUGGUUGCUAUGGGUUUCAUCUUGAUCAAUCCUGGGACUUGUCCAGUAAAAGUGCUACCAGAGCUUCCUCCCGUAUCUCCAGUUUCUUCCACUGGCCCUUCUGAAACCACUGGCCUCACAGAAAACCCUACAAUCUCCACCAAGAAACCUACAGUUUCCAUAGAAAAACCCAGUGUCACCACAGAAAAGCCCACAGUCCCCAAAGAAAAGCCCACCAUUCCCACAGAAAAACCCACCAUCUCCACAGAAAAACCCACCAUUCCUUCAGAAAAACCCAACAUGCCCUCAGAAAAACCCACCAUUCCCUCAGAAAAACCUACCAUCCUCACAGAAAAACCCACCAUUCCCUCAGAAAAACCCACCAUUCCCUCAGAAAAACCCACCAUUUCCACAGAAAAACCCACCGUCCCCACAGAAGAGCCCACCACCCCCACUGAGGAGACCACCACCUCCAUGGAAGAGCCUGUCAUCCCUACAGAAAAACCCAGCAUCCCCACGGAAAAACCCACCAUCUCCAUGUAAGAGACUAUCAUCUCCACAGAAAAACCCACCAUCUCCCCAGAAAAACCCACCAUCUCCAUAGAAAAACCCACCAUCUCUCCAGAAAAACCCACCAUCCCCACAGAAAAACCCACCAUCCCCACAGAAAAACCCACCAUCUCCCCAGAAAAACCCACCACCCCCACAGAAAAACCCACCAUCCCCACAGAAAAACCCACCAUCUCCCCAGAAAAACCCACCAUCCCCACAGAAAAACCCACCAUCCCCACAGAAAAACCCACCAUCUCCACAGAAGAGCCCACCACCCCCACUGAGGAGACCACCAUCUCCACAGAAGAGCCUGCCAUCCCCACAGAAAAACCCAGCAUCCCCAUGGAAAAACCCACUCUCCCCACUGAAGAAACCACCACCUCUGUUGAAGAGACUACCAUCUCCACAGAAAAACUCACCAUCCCCAUGGAAAAACCCACCAUCUCCACAGAAAAACCCACCAUCCCCACAGAAAAACCCACCAUCUCCCCAGAAAAACUCACCAUCCCCACGGAAAAACUCACCAUCCCCAUGGAAAAACCCACCAUCCCCAUUGAAGAGACUACCAUCUCCACAGAAAAACUCACCAUCCCCACAGAGAAAUCCACCAUCUCCCCAGAAAAACCCACCAUCUCCAUGGAAAAACCCACCACCCCCACAGAAAAACCCACCAUCCCCAUUGAAGAGACUACCAUCUCCACAGAAAAACUCACCAUCCCCACAGAAAAACCCACCAUCUCCCCAGAAAAACCCACCAUCUCCACGGAAAAACCCACCAUCCCCACGGAAAAACCCACCAUCCCCACUGAAGAGACUACCAUUUCCACAGAAAAACUCACCAUCCCCACAGAAAAACCCACCAUCUCCCCAGAAAAACCCACCAUCUCCCCAGAAAAGCUCACAGCCCUGAGGCCACCCCAUCCCAGCCCCACAGCCACUGGGCUGGCAGCCUUGGUGAUGUCUCCACAUGCUCCAAGUGCCCCUAUGACCAGUGUGAUUCUGGGCACUACCACAACCUCCAGAUCCAGUACAGAGCGCUGCCCUCCAAAUGCCCGCUACGAAUCCUGUGCUUGUCCUGCUUCGUGCAAGAGCCCCAGGCCUAGCUGUGGGCCCCUCUGUCGGGGGGGCUGUGUCUGCAACCCUGGCUUUUUGUUUAGUGACAACCACUGCAUCCAGGCCUCUUCCUGCAAUUGCUUCUACAACAACGACUACUAUGAGCCUGGGGCAGAGUGGUUCAGCCCCAACUGCACAGAACAUUGCCGCUGCUGGCCGGGCAGUCGGGUCGAGUGCCAGAUCUCUCAGUGUGGGACACACACCGUGUGCCAGCUUAAGAAUGGCCAGUAUGGAUGCCACCCCUACGCAGGCACUGCCACCUGCUUGGUCUACGGAGACCCUCAUUAUGUCACCUUUGACGGGAGGCACUUUGGCUUCAUGGGCAAGUGCACUUACAUCUUGGGCCAGCCCUGUGGCAACUCAACAGACCCAUUCUUCAGGGUGACAGCCAAGAAUGAGGAGCAGGGACAGGAAGGCAUGUCCUGCCUGAGCAAAGUCUACAUGACCCUGCCCGAGAGCACCGUCACCCUGCUUAAGGGCAGACGCACUCUGGUUGGGGGUCAGCAAGUUACUCUCCCAGCCAUACCCUCUAAAGGCGUCUUCCUGGGUGCAAGCGGGCGGUUUGUGGAGCUGCAGACGGAGUUCGGUUUGUGGGUGAGAUGGGAUGGUGACCAGCAGCUGUAUGUUACUGUGUCCAGCACCUACUCUGGCAAACUCUGUGGUUUGUGUGGGAACUAUGAUGGCAACAGUGACAAUGACCACCUGAAGUCAGACGGCAGCCCAGCAGGAGACAAGGAGGAGCUGGGGAACAGCUGGCAGACGGACCAGGACGAGGACCAGGAGUGUCAGAAGUACCAGGUGGUGAAUUCCCCGUCUUGUGAUUCAUCUCUGCAGAGCAGCAUGUCGGGGCCAGGGUUCUGUGGACGGCUGGUCGACACUCAUAGCCCAUUUGAGACAUGCCUGCUGCACGUGAAGGCCACUUCCUUCUUCGACAGCUGCAUGCUUGAUAUGUGCGGAUUCCAGGGGCUGCAGCACCUGCUAUGCACACACAUGUCCACCAUGACCACCACCUGCCAGGACGCAGGCCACGCCGUGAAGCCCUGGAGGGAACCCCACUUCUGCCCAAUGGCCUGCCCGCCCAACAGCAAGUACUCCCUGUGUGCGAAGCCAUGCCCUGACACCUGCCAUUCAGGAUUCUCCGGCAUGUUCUGCUCAGACCGGUGCGUGGAGGCCUGUGAAUGCAAUCCGGGCUUCGUCCUCAGUGGCCUCGAGUGCAUACCUCGCUCCCAGUGUGGAUGCCUCCACCCUGCAGGCAGCUACUUCAAGGUAGGGGAGUGGUGGUACAAGCCAGGCUGCAAAGAGUUGUGCGUCUGUGAAAGCAACAACAGAAUUCGCUGCCAGCCCUGGAGGUGUAGGGCCCAGGAGUUCUGUGGCCAACAGGAUGGUAUCUAUGGCUGCCAUGCCCAAGGUGCCGCCACCUGCACAGCCUCGGGUGACCCCCACUACCUGACCUUCGAUGGCGCCUUGCACCACUUCAUGGGCACCUGCACCUAUGUCCUGACCCGGCCUUGCUGGUCCAGGUCCCAAGACAGCUAUUUUGUUGUGAGCGCCACCAACGAGAACCGCGGGGGGAACCUGGAGGUCUCCUAUAUCAAAGCCGUCCACGUGACAGUCUUUGACCUCAGCAUCUCACUGCUCAGAGGCUGUAAGGUCAUGCUGAAUGGCCAUCGGGUGGCCCUACCUGUGUGGCUUGCACAAGGCCGGGUGACCAUAAGGCUCAGCAGCAACUUCGUCCUCCUCUACACGAACUUUGGGCUCCAAGUUCGCUACGACGGGAGCCACUUGGUGGAAGUGACAGUCCCCUCCUCCUAUGGCGGCCAGCUCUGUGGGCUGUGUGGGAACUACAACAACAACAGCUUGGAUGACAACCUGCGCCCCGACAGAAAGCCUGCAGGCGAUUCCGUGCAGCUUGGGGCCGCCUGGAAGUUACCUGAAUCCUCUGAACCUGGCUGUUUCCUUGUGGGUGGCAAGCCCUCCAGCUGCCAGGAGAACAGCAUGGCAGACGCCUGGAACAAGAACUGUGCGAUCUUAAUAAACCCUCAGGGACCCUUCUCUCAAUGUCACCAGGUGGUGCCUCCCCAGUCCAGCUUUGCCAGUUGCGUGCAUGGUCAGUGUGGGACCAAGGGCGACACCACAGCCCUGUGCCGCUCCCUGCAGGCCUACGCGUCCCUGUGUGCCCAGGCUGGCCAGGCCCCUGCCUGGCGGAACAGAACCUUCUGCCCUAUGAGGUGCCCACCUGGCAGCAGCUACAGCCCCUGCGGCAGUCCCUGCCCAGCCACCUGCAGCAGCAUAAACAACCCGAGGGACUGCCCCAAAGCACUGCCCUGUGCUGAGAGCUGUGAAUGUCAGAAAGGCCACAUCUUGAGUGGAACCUCCUGCGUGCCCCUUGGCCAGUGUGGCUGCACUGACCCAGUGGGCUCCUACCACCCGGUCGGGGAGCGCUGGUACACAGAGAACACCUGCACCAGGCUCUGCACCUGCUCCGUCCACAACAACAUCACCUGCUUCCAGAGCACCUGCAAACCCAACCAGAUAUGCUGGGCCCUGGAUGGGCUGCUCCGUUGUCGGGCCUCAGGUAUGGGAGUGUGUCAGCUCCCAGGGGAGUCCCACUACGUGAGCUUUGAUGGUAGUAACCAUUCUAUCCCGGACGCCUGCACUCUUGUCCUGGUGAAAGUGUGCCACCCCGCCAUGGCCUUGCCCUUCUUCAAGAUCAGUGCCAAGCAUGAGAAGGAGGAAGGUGGAACUGAGGCUUUCCUCCUUCAUGAGGUCUACAUUGACAUCUACGAUGCCAAGGUCACCCUGCAGAAGGGCCACCGUGUGCUGAUCAACAGCAAACAGGUCAUCCUCCCCGCCAUCUCCCAGAUCCCUGGGGUCAGUGUCAAGUCCAGCAGCAUCUACACCAUUGUUAACAUCAAGAUCGGGGUGCAAGUCAAGUUUGACGGGAAUCAUCUCUUAGAGAUUGAAAUCCCCACAACCUACUAUGGAAAGGUCUGCGGCAUGUGUGGGAACUUCAAUGAUGAGGAAGAGGACGAACUAAUGAUGCCCAGCGAUGAAGUAGCAAAUAGUGACGGUGAAUUUGUGAACAGUUGGAAAGAUAAGGACAUUGACCCAAGUUGUCAGAGUCUCCCGGUAGAUGAGCAGCAGAUUCCAGCGGAACAGCAGGAGAACCCGAGUGGAAACUGCAGGGCGGCCGACCUCCGCAGGGCGCGGGAAAAGUGCGAGGCAGCGCUCCAGGCUCCUGUGUGGGCCCAGUGCGCCUCCCGCAUAGACCUCACGCCCUUCCUGGUGGACUGUGCAAACACCCUCUGUGAGUUGGGAGGUCUCUACCAGGCCCUCUGCCAGGCUCUGCAAGCCUUCGGGGCCACCUGCCAGAGCCAGGGGCUCAAGCCCCCACUCUGGAGAAACAGCAGCUUCUGCCCUCUGGAAUGCCCUGCCUGCAGCAGCUACACCAACUGCCUUCCCUCCUGCUCGCCCUCCUGCUGGGACCUGGAUGGCCGGUGUGAGGGCGCCAAAGUCCCCUCUGCCUGCGCUGAGGGCUGCAUUUGUCAGCCCGGCUAUGUGCUGAGUGAAGACAAGUGUGUCCCCAGAAGUCAGUGCGGCUGCAAGGAUGCCCAUGGUGGCUCCAUCCCUCUGGGCAAGAGCUGGGUCUCCAGCGGUUGCACGGAGAAGUGUGUCUGCACGGGAGGAGCCAUUCAGUGCGGGGACUUCCGAUGCCCCUCUGGGUCCCACUGCCAGCUCACUUCCGACAACAGCAACAGCAAUUGUGUCUCAGACAAGUCUGAACAAUGCUCAGUCUAUGGGGACCCCCGUUACCUCACAUUUGACGGCUUCAGCUACCGCUUCCAAGGCCGCAUGACCUAUGUUCUGAUCAAGACUGUGGACGUACUGCCUGAGGGGGUGGAGCCCCUCCUCGUGGAAGGACACAACAAGAUGGAUCCGCCCAGGAGCUCCAUCUUCUUGCAGGAAGUGAUUACCACCGUCUACGGCUAUAAAGUGCAGCUCCAAGCUGGUCUGGAGCUUGUGGUCAACAACCAGAAGAUGGCCGUCCCCUACAGGCCAAAUGAACACCUGCGGGUCAUGCUGCGGGGCCAACGGCUCUACCUGGUCACCGACUUUGAGCUGGUCGUCAGCUUUGGUGGAAGGAAAAAUGCAGUGAUCUCCCUACCCAGCAUGUACGAGGGGCUUGUGCGUGGCCUGUGCGGAAACUACGACAAGAACCGCAAGAAUGACAUGAUGCUGCCCAGUGGCGCCCUGACCCAGAACCUCAACACCUUUGGCAACAGCUGGGAGGUGAAGACCGAGGACGCACUCCUCCGCCUCCCCAGGGCUAUACCAGCGGAGGAGGAGGGACAAGGGGCAGAGCUGGGCCUCCGCACGGGCCUCCACGUGUCCGAAUGUAACCCGGAGCAGCUGGCGAGCAACAGCACCCAGGCCUGUAGGGUGCUGGCAGACCCCCAGGGCCCCUUUGCUGCCUGUCACCAGACGGUGGCCCCAGAGCCCUUCCAAGAGCACUGCGUGCUGGAUCUGUGCUCUGCUCAGGACCCAAGAGAGCAAGAGGAGCUGCGUUGCCAGGUCCUCAGCGGGUACGCCAUCCUCUGCCAGGAGGCGGGUGCUGCCCUGGCUGGCUGGCGGGACCGCACCCUCUGCGCCAUGGAGUGUCCAGCAGGUACCAUGUAUCAGAGCUGUAUGACACCCUGCCCAGCGUCCUGUGCCAACCUGGCAGACCCUGGGGACUGCGAGGGCCCCUGCGUGGAAGGCUGCGCCAGCAUCCCAGGCUAUGCCUACAGCGGCACCCAGAGCCUCCCCCUGGCUGACUGUGGCUGCACCAGCAAUGGCAUCUACUACCAGGUCCGAGCUGGCAGCAGGAGGCCCUGGGGAGCAGAGGCGCCAAGGAGAGCCAGACCAGGGAUGGAACCGGAACGUCUCCUCCUGGCCCUUCCCCUUUCUAGCUGGGCAGCAGCUUUCUGACUGAGGACUGCUCUCAGCGGUGCACCUGUGCCAGCUCACGGAUCCUGCUGUGUGAGCCCUUCAGCUGCAGAGCGGGGGAGGUCUGCACCCUGGGGAACCACACCCAAGGCUGCUUUCCAGAAAGCCCGUGUCUGCAGAACCCCUGUCAGAAUGACGGGCAGUGUCGGGAGCAGGGAGCCACCUUCACCUGCGAGUGUGAAGUUGGUUACGGGGGAGACCUCUGUAUGGAGCCUCGAGAUGUGCCACCUCCCAGAAAGCCAGCAUCUAACCUGGUGGCCGUCCUACUGGGACUGCUGGUGCCUGUGGUGGUCGUACUACUGGCCGUGACCAGAGAGUGCAUUUACAGAACGAGGAGGAAGAGAGAGAAAACGCAGGAGGGAGACAGACUGGCCAGGCUGGUGGACACAGAUACUGUUCUGGACUGUGCCUGUUAAGUUGCUCAGUUUUGAGCUGUCUUCAGACAAGAAGAUUAAAUAAAUUUAUAUAUUUAUUUAUUUGA